Non-coding RNA from Lolium perenne, 2623 nucleotides. Lineage: Eukaryota; Viridiplantae; Streptophyta; Magnoliopsida; Poales; Poaceae. The record is from RefSeq and is a predicted model, not a curated record.
UCACUUUAGAUUUAUUGCGCGAUUGACUACGUCAAGAUUCAUCUAGAUAUUCACCGCUUCCUAUUCUUCUCCUUUCUUUUCUUGCCACGUGCAUCUCUCCCAUGUCCAAAAUUCCCCCACGUCUUUGGCCCUCCUCGAGGACCAUGGCGGCCUGGAUGCAAGGCUGAAGACGCCAUGCGUGUCGAUUUCGCCGCCGGAGCGGAGGACGGUAAUGGAGAAGGCCAUCCGGAGGACGACCCAGCAGGGGUCGUGGCCGUCGAUGCCCUGGUGCAGCCACACCCGGACCCGCCCUCAGCGGAGCGAGCGGGACAGGCCGAUGAGGAGCAGCGCGAGGAUGGGGCGAGAUGCCAUCCGAGCAGAUCGUAGCCUCGCUGCUCGCUGCUCCAUCACAAGGUGUGCAACCCGACUCCAACUCCCCCACCCAGGUUUCUCAUAUUCCUCACCCACAUGAAUAAAUCCUCUUCUUGUGAGCAAUUGGAGCACUUCAUACGGACAGCUCUAUAUCUUGGUGUUAGUCUAACCGCCAAUCCACUCAUGGGUAGUAAUAUAUUGAGCCCUGAUGUGGCUCUAUAUCUUGGUAUUGGUCUUUUUUUUGGGGUAACCUCAGGUCUUGGUUAGAAGAAAGGAGGAGGUCCGCAUAGACAUGAAUCAAGAUAGUGUAUAAUGCCAUAAGUAUGUUGAUUACAAAUUAGCCUGCUGUUCCAGAGUAAGUUUUUUUUUUUUUGAAUAGUAGCCACAAUAAGUUCAGACAUUUGGUAUUUUCAAAUUGCAUAGGGGUCAUGUAAGGAUAGGACUAACUUAUGAAAAAUUGUAGUUACCAUGGUAUAGAUUAAAGGAACAAUCAAUUUAUAAACCACUAAACAUUACAUAUGACAUAUGACUUUUAGAAGAGCGUAUGAACUAGACAUGCAUUUCUAAACAAGAAAAUAUCUUUCCAACUACUACUCAACUUUGCCCUUUUGCAUUUCAAGAUCAGACAGAUACAUUGUGGUUUAAUUGUAGUUUCAUCUACUAAUUUGGUGGUAACAUGAUAUCAAGGAGUAGUUGUAAAUAAUUUUGAUUUCACAGGGAGGCUACAUACAGAUAUAUGUUAAUACCUGAAAAUUGUUCCAGUGCUCAAGGAGAUGUACCUACCUGUUGUUUGGUGUAUCGGUUUGUCAUUUUCAGCCCAUCACAUUUCUACAUAUCAGCUUAGUGGUAGCCUACUAAUAUUAAUUAUAUUGUCGCAUCUUCAGAGAAGCUAUCAGCAGCAUACUUCAUUGUCAGUGCGAAGAGAGGGCCGUCCAACGACUUCAAGAUGUUGAUUCCUUCGGUGUUGAGAGAUGGUUGGAGUUAGGGGGGCGUCCAAAUUAUUCACCAUGUUUUCCUUUGUAACUUUGCAAAUUUGAACAUGCCUUUAUUGCAAGGGAACACCAUGUCAACUACGGUUAGAUGGUCAUACAAAACAGUUGCAAUUGCAGCUUCAUUAUUAGCGAGCUAGGCUAAUAUGAGCUUUGGCAAACUUACGGGUACGUAUGGAGUGAUGAGGAGACAGGGAGGGUGCCAAAACUGGUUUUACUUGGUUCUUAGAACUGAGGAUACCUCCAUGUUUCAUAACUUGCCAUUAAUGGUUAUCUACCUAUUUUUUUACUUGCAGCUAUGUUUUUGAGGAAUCAUUCGACGCGCUUGCGAGAUUGUAUGGUUCAUUGUUACCAGCUAUGUUGUUGAACUAUACUUUAUAAUUGUCUAUUUUCCAUACCGUCUGCCUUGCUAUUUUAAUUCUGUAAUUAUUUGUUUCAUGUAGACAUGAAGUGAUGAACAAUAGUUGAUCACUUGAAAUGCCUAUCUUCGUACAGUACCUUGCUAUUUUUGUUCUGCAAUCAUGUAUUUCACAUACAGAUGAAAUAAACUUGAUCACUUCAAGUUUCUAUCUACGAUAUGUGGCCUUGCUGUUUUAGUUCCCUGAUGAUCUCACGUGAUGCAUCAAAUAGAAGACAUAAGGGAUAGCAAGUUUGCUACACAUACCUUGAAAAUAGUAAUGCACGUUACCUGUGGACUUAAUGGUGCAUUUUGAUUCCUGCCUGUUGCCUAGCACUUUCCUUCAUUUUAUUUGCGAAAAUUGUUUAUCCUCUGACAAUCGUUCACUCUUCGGCAAUUGUUGCAGCUAAGUCAUCCCAAUGAUUUAUGUGUUCGCAACAAGCUUGCAAGAGUCCCAACUCUCGGUUGAAGGAACUCAGCAACAGAGUCAGAUUUUCCUAGCCACUACAAUAUAUCACCUUGACUGCCUUCGCCCUUCACAGGGAUGAUUGUUCUCUCAUGGCUUUUGGUACCAGUAAACAGCAGCUGAUGUAAAUGGCUCGUGGGUUGACAAGCUAAACACGAAAGAUUCAGAGCUCAAGCCACUUGAUGCAUUUGGUUCCCAUGUAGGGGGCAUUUCGCCACAUUUUCGUUUUGUGUACAUCUCUAGGUGUCGACCGGAAAACUAUCUUCUCCGUACAUCUCUCACUGCAUUGUAUUCUCCUGUGUAUCUGCGAACCAGUGUAUAAAAAUUUAGCUUUCCUGGUUCCCAUUUUAGUUCUACUUUCCCGUUGUUAGUAAGAGUUUGUAUGACCACUCACGCUAGGGCUCAACUGAAUAGAACUGC